Molecule: ribosomal RNA, 365 nt
Filed under: uncultured bacterium
Lineage: Bacteria
Description: bacterial SSU rRNA
Rfam family: Bacterial small subunit ribosomal RNA
Source: RNAcentral
AAGGGUAGCAAUACCUGAGUAAAGCGGCGAACGGGUGAGUAACACGUGGUUAACCUGCCGGAAUGUGGGGGAUACCCCGGGGAAACUCGGGACAAUACCGCAUAUGGUCUCCUGGGCUCUGGCCCGGGAGAGCAAAGCUGGGGAUCGUAAGACCUGGCGCAUUCCGAGGGGACCGCGGCCGAUUAGCUAGUUGGCGGGGUAAUGGCCCACCAAGGCAACGAUCGGUAGCCGGCCUGAGAGGGUGAUCGGCCACACCGGAACUGAGACACGGUCCGGACUCCUACGGGAGGCAGCAGUGGGGAAUUUUGCGCAAUGGGCGAAAGCCUGACGCAGCAACGCCGCGUGGAGGAUGAAGGUUCUCUGAA